RNAcentral lists this ribosomal RNA (207 nucleotides) under uncultured bacterium. RNAcentral's name for it is "partial 16S ribosomal RNA". It matches the Rfam family "Bacterial small subunit ribosomal RNA", at positions 568 to 774 of the family's 1533-position model. The record is from RNAcentral.
CGCGUAGGCGGCCUUGUAAGUCCCGUGUGAAAGCCCCCGGCUCAACUGGGGAAUGGCACGGGAAACUGCGAGGCUUGAGUUCGGGAGAGGGAAGCGGAAUUCCGGGUGUAGCGGUGAAAUGCGUAGAUAUCCAAAAAAACACCAAUGACGAAAACGGCUUCCUGGACCGAUACUGACGCUGAGGCGCGAAAGCUAGGGGAGCAAACG